RNAcentral lists this long non-coding RNA (586 nucleotides) under Homo sapiens (human). RNAcentral describes it as "non-protein coding lnc-OR3A2-1:8". The record is from RNAcentral. Lineage: Eukaryota; Metazoa; Chordata; Mammalia; Primates; Hominidae.
GGUCGUAGGACAUGGCCGCCAGGAGGUAGCUCUCGGUGAUGCCCAGAGCCACGAAGAAGUACAUCUCGGCAAAGCACGCCUGGAAGGAUAUGGCCUGGCCCGGGUGGAGCAGGCCGGCCAGCAGCCUGGGGACCGUGACGGUGGUAAAGCAGACGUCCACGAGGCUCAGCUUUUGGAAGAGCAAUGAAUGAAAACAGAGGUGAAGGGACCGUGAAGGAGAGGGUGAUGGACAAACUCCAAGGCAAACUGCUGUCAACUUCCUAAGACAUGCCACAAAAUGUUGAAUGAAGAUAGGCAGCGUUGGCAAGGAGAGUUUCUGAAACUUCCACUGGAGGGCUCUGCGUGUUCCGGCAGGAAUGGUAUUCUGACCUUUUCAGCUAGCAGAGGAUGAGGAGGACAAGGUGGUGGUGUCAUUGGGCAUGUCAACCAAGAGCAAGAAACUCAUGGAGCCAGAAGCUGGGACCAAUAGGACCGCUGUUGCUGAGUUCAUUCUACUGGGCCUAGUGCAAACAGAAGAGAUGCAGCCAGUUGUCUUUGUGCUCCUCCUCUUUGCCUAUCUGGUCACAACUGGGGGCAACCUCAGCAU